GGUCAUAUCAUGUUGAAACACCCGUUUCCGUAAGAUCACCGAAGUUAAGCAACGGCGCGCCUGGUCAGUAACUAGAUGGGUAACCGCUUGGGAAUACCAGGUCCUGUAA
Non-coding RNA from Acanthosepion pharaonis, 109 nucleotides. NCBI's taxonomy places the organism in Eukaryota, Metazoa, Mollusca, Cephalopoda, Sepiida, Sepiidae. The record is from the annotation of a GenBank genome assembly.